RNAcentral lists this ribosomal RNA (253 nucleotides) under uncultured bacterium. RNAcentral describes it as "partial 16S ribosomal RNA". It matches the Rfam family "Bacterial small subunit ribosomal RNA", at positions 524 to 776 of the family's 1533-position model. The record is from RNAcentral.
UACGUAGGGUGCAAGCGUUGUCCGGAAUUAUUGGGCGUAAAGAGCUCGUAGGCGGUUUGUCGCGUCGGCUGUGAAAACCCGGAGCUCAACUCCGGGCCUGCAGUCGAUACGGGCAGACUGGAGUUCGGCAGGGGAGACUGGAAUUCCUGGUGUAGCGGUGAAAUGCGCAGAUAUCAGGAGGAACACCGGUGGCGAAGGCGGGUCUCUGGGCCGAUACUGACGCUGAGGAGCGAAAGCGUGGGGAGCGAACAGG